This 18-nucleotide small RNA is filed under the name Arabidopsis thaliana (thale cress). Its description in RNAcentral is "ATSL010330". The record is from RNAcentral. Lineage: Eukaryota; Viridiplantae; Streptophyta; Magnoliopsida; Brassicales; Brassicaceae.
AGUGUUCUAUUGUGUCCA